RNAcentral lists this transfer RNA (74 nucleotides) under Paramuricea clavata. RNAcentral describes it as "tRNA-Ser". It matches the Rfam family "tRNA". Rfam says of the family: Transfer RNA (tRNA) molecules are approximately 80 nucleotides in length. Lineage: Eukaryota; Metazoa; Cnidaria; Anthozoa; Malacalcyonacea; Plexauridae. The record is from RNAcentral.
GUCUCUGUAGCUCAGUUGGUUAGAGCGCUGCUCCGGAGUCGCAGGGCCGUAGGUUCAAUUCCUACCAGAGGACC